RNAcentral lists this long non-coding RNA (386 nucleotides) under Homo sapiens (human). Its description in RNAcentral is "non-protein coding lnc-IQCM-2:9". Lineage: Eukaryota; Metazoa; Chordata; Mammalia; Primates; Hominidae. The record is from RNAcentral.
ACUUAGCAGAGCUAGAGGAGUGGAUGGACCGAAAAAAAUUCUAUGAAAUAAUGUUUGCUAAGAGGGAAGAUUGGCCAAAAAUUGAAAGAAAUGAGCUCCCCAAUUUCUUCAGUGACUGUGGUCAUUUCCCAACUCAGAAACAAGUUGAUGAUACUUGGGACCUGGUCCAUCAAGAUGGCAAAGAAAAAUAUUCUGAACUAAUCAAAAAGUCCAAAGCAAUUGAAAUGUUAUUUACACUCUAUCCUCCUGAAGGUGCACAUGUGCCUGACAGUACACUACUCAAGUCGACUUGGUUGAGACCCAUAGUAAAUGGGGAAGAAGGUUAUAGAUAUAUAGUAAAUGGACAUCCAGCACUCAAACGAGCUAACAUCCGGGUUGUUGGAAAG